Non-coding RNA from Gossypium arboreum, 119 nucleotides. Lineage: Eukaryota; Viridiplantae; Streptophyta; Magnoliopsida; Malvales; Malvaceae. The record is from Rfam.
GGGUGCGAUCAUACCAGCAUUAAUGCACCGGAUCACAUCAGAACUUCGCAGUUAAGUGUUCUAGGGCGAGAGUUGUACUAGGAUGGGUGACCUCCUAGGAAGUCAUCGUGUUGUAGCCC